AUUGAACGCUGGCGGCAUGCCUAACACAUGCAAGUCGAACGGCAGCACGACCUAGCUUGCUAGGUUGGUGGCGAGUGGCGCACGGGUGAGUAAUGCGUAGGAAUAUACCUUAAAGUGGGGGACAACCUGGGGAAACUCAGGCUAAUACCGCAUGAGCUCUAAGGAGGAAAGCUGGGGACCUUUCGGGGCCUGGCGCUUUAAGAACAGCUUACGUGCGAUUAGUUAGUUAGUGGGGUAAAGGCUUACCAAGACGAUGAUCGGUAGCUGGUCUGGGAGGAUGAUCAGCCACACUGGGACUGAGACACGGCCCAGACUCCUACGGGAGGCAGCAGUGGGGAAUAUUGGACAAUGGGGGAAACCCUGAUCCAGCGAUGCCGCGUGUGUGAAGAAGGCCUGCGGGUUGUAAAGCACUUUCGGUGGGGAGGAGGACUUAUAGGUUAAGAGCAAUGAGUUGGACGUUACCCACAUAAGAAGCACCGGCUAACUCCGUGCCAGCCGCCGCAGUAA
Molecule: ribosomal RNA, 507 nt
Filed under: uncultured bacterium
Lineage: Bacteria
Description: partial 16S ribosomal RNA
Rfam family: Bacterial small subunit ribosomal RNA
Source: RNAcentral